This 256-nucleotide ribosomal RNA is filed under the name uncultured bacterium. Its description in RNAcentral is "partial 16S ribosomal RNA". It matches the Rfam family "Bacterial small subunit ribosomal RNA", at positions 80 to 339 of the family's 1533-position model. The record is from RNAcentral.
UCGGGGAUGUCCUUAGUGGCGCACGGGUGAGUAACGCGUGGGAAUCUGUCCAGGUGUGGGGAAUAACUACGGGAAACUGUAGCUAAUACCGCAUACGCCCUACGGGGGAAAGCAGGGGAUCUUCGGACCUUGCGCUAUUGGAUGAGCCUGCGUUGGAUUAGCUUGUUGGUGGGGUAAAGGCCUACCAAGGCGACGAUCAGUAGCUGGUUUGAGAGGAUGAUCAGCCACACUGGGACUGAGAUACGGCCCAGACUCC